This 396-nucleotide ribosomal RNA is filed under the name uncultured bacterium. RNAcentral describes it as "partial 16S ribosomal RNA". It matches the Rfam family "Bacterial small subunit ribosomal RNA", at positions 360 to 774 of the family's 1533-position model. The record is from RNAcentral.
AAUCUUGCGCAAUGGAGGGAACUCUGAUGCAGCGACGCCGCGUGAGUGAUGAAGGCUUUCGAGUCGUAAAACUCUGUCCUAGGGGACGAUAAUGACGGUACCCUAGGAGGAAGCCCCGGCUAACUACGUGCCAGCAGCCGCGGUAAUACGUAGGGGGCGAGCGUUGUCCGGAAUUAUUGGGCGUAAAGGGUUCGCAGGCGGCCUUUUAAGUCAGAUGUGAAAGAUCACGGCUCAACCGUGGUAAGCAUUUGAAACUGGAAGGCUUGAGUUAAGGAGAGGAAAGUGGAAUUCCUAGUGUAGCGGUGAAAUGCGUAGAUAUUAGGAGGAAUACCAGUGGCGAAGGCGACUUUCUGGACUUAUACUGACGCUGAGGAACGAAAGCGUGGGGAGCUAACA